GUGGGGAAUAUUGGACAAUGGGCGCAAGCCUGAUCCAGCCAUGCCGCGUGAGUGAUGAAGGCCUUAGGGUUGUAAAGCUCUUUCACCGAUGAAGAUAAUGACGGUAGUCGGAGAAGAAGCCCCGGCUAACUUCGUGCCAGCAGCCGCGGUAAUACGAAGGGGGCUAGCGUUGUUCGGAUUUACUGGGCGUAAAGCGCACGUAGGCGGUUUGUUAAGUCAGGGGUGAAAUCCCGGAGCUCAACUCCGGAACUGCCUUCGAUACUGGCGAUCUUGAGUCCGGAAGAGGUGAGUGGAACUCCUAGUGUAGAGGUGGAAUUCGUAGAUAUUAGGAAGAACACCAGUGGCGAAGGCGGCUCACUGGUCCGGUACUGACGCUGAGGUGCGAAAGCGUGGGGAGCAAACAGGAUUAGAUACCCGUGUAGUCC
This 425-nucleotide ribosomal RNA is filed under the name uncultured bacterium. RNAcentral's name for it is "bacterial SSU rRNA". It matches the Rfam family "Bacterial small subunit ribosomal RNA", at positions 354 to 796 of the family's 1533-position model. The record is from RNAcentral.